UUGGCUCAGGAUGAACGCUGGCGGCGUGCCUAAUACAUGCAAGUCGGACGGAGCGCUUCGGCGCUCAGUGGCGAACGGGUGAGUAGCACAUGGGCAACCUGCCCUUCAGAGGGGGACAACAGCUGGAAACGGCUGCUAAGACCGCAUAGGCGCGGACGGGACAUCCCGUCCACGUUAAACGUCCUUACGGGGACGGCUGAAGGAUGGGCCUGUGGCGCAUUAGCUUGUUGGCGGGGCAACGGCCCACCAAGGCGACGAUGCGUAGCCGGCCUGAGAGGGCGGACGGCCACACUGGGACUGAGACACGGCCCAGACUCCUACGGGAGGCAGCAGUGGGGAAUA
This 342-nucleotide ribosomal RNA is filed under the name uncultured rumen bacterium. RNAcentral describes it as "bacterial SSU rRNA". It matches the Rfam family "Bacterial small subunit ribosomal RNA", at positions 19 to 363 of the family's 1533-position model. The record is from RNAcentral.